UACGUAGGGUGCAAGCGUUGUCCGGAAUUAUUGGGCGUAAAGGGUGCGUAGGCGGCAUGAUAAGUUAUUGGCGGCAAAUCGAGGCUCAACCUCGUGGAAACUGAUAAUACUGUCUUGCUUGAGUGCAGAAGAGGUUAACGGAACUCCAUGUGGAGCGGUAAAAUGUGUAGAUAUAUGGAAGAACAUCAAUAACGGCGAAGGCAGUUAACUAUUCUGUUACUGACGUUGAGGCACGAAAGCGUGGGGAGCAAAAAGG
This 256-nucleotide ribosomal RNA is filed under the name uncultured bacterium. RNAcentral describes it as "partial 16S ribosomal RNA". It matches the Rfam family "Bacterial small subunit ribosomal RNA", at positions 524 to 776 of the family's 1533-position model. The record is from RNAcentral.